Molecule: long non-coding RNA, 321 nt
Filed under: Androctonus crassicauda
Lineage: Eukaryota; Metazoa; Arthropoda; Arachnida; Scorpiones; Buthidae
Source: RNAcentral
GGGAGACCGGCAUACAGGUGAAGCCCAGCCAUUUUCAACAUGUUGAGAAAUGAGAAGGAUAAAGGAAAAGACCUAGAAAAGAAAGGCAUGUACAGGGUCCCUGUCACGUGUGGGGACAUCCAGCGCCGGUCGUUUUGCACAGGCGUCACCGCCGGAUUGAGCCAAAGGAUAAAGGAGCAUAAUGAUGAUAUUAGGAAGGGGGGGCUUCAUAUGGCCCUGUCAGCGGGGGCUUGCCGAGGGAGCAUUGGCAUAGUGUGGGACCGGGCUGGAAUAGUUGAGCCGCUAACCACACCAGUGCAGCCGCUCUUAGCGGAAUCAUUG